Molecule: ribosomal RNA, 649 nt
Filed under: uncultured bacterium
Lineage: Bacteria
Description: bacterial SSU rRNA
Rfam family: Bacterial small subunit ribosomal RNA
Source: RNAcentral
UAACGCGUUAAGUAGACCGCCUGGGGAGUACGGUCGCAAGAUUAAAACUCAAAUGAAUUGACGGGGGCCCGCACAAGCGGUGGAGCAUGUGGUUUAAUUCGAUGCAACGCGAAGAACCUUACCUACUCUUGACAUCUACAGAAGCCAGCGGAGUCGCAGGUGUGCCUUCGGGAACUGUAAGACAGGUGCUGCAUGGCUGUCGUCAGCUCGUGUUGUGAAAUGUUGGGUUAAGUCCCGCAACGAGCGCAACCCUUAUCCUUGUUUGCCAGCACUUCGGGUGGGAACUCCAGGGAGACUGCCGGUGAUAAACCGGAGGAAGGUGGGGACGACGUCAAGUCAUCAUGGCCCUUACGAGUAGGGCUACACACGUGCUACAAUGGCGCAUACAGAGGGCGGCCAACUUGCGAAAGUGAGCGAAUCCCAAAAAGUGCGUCGUAGUCCGGAUUGGAGUCUGCAACUCGACUCCAUGAAGUCGGAAUCGCUAGUAAUCGUGGAUCAGAAUGCCACGGUGAAUACGUUCCCGGGCCUUGUACACACCGCCCGUCACACCAUGGGAGUGGGCUGCAAAAGAAGUGGGUAGUUUAACCUUCGGGAGGACGCUCACCACUUUGUGGUUCAUGACUGGGGUGAAGUCGUAACAAGGUAACCG